This 242-nucleotide ribosomal RNA is filed under the name Trypanosoma copemani. RNAcentral's name for it is "partial small subunit ribosomal RNA". It matches the Rfam family "Eukaryotic small subunit ribosomal RNA", at positions 392 to 625 of the family's 1831-position model. Lineage: Eukaryota; Euglenozoa; Kinetoplastea; Trypanosomatida; Trypanosomatidae. The record is from RNAcentral.
UAGCCUGAGAAAUAGCUACCACUUCUACGGAGGGCAGCAGGCGCGCAAAUUGCCCAAUGUCAAAAAAAAACGAUGAGGCAGCGAAAAGAAAUAGAGCCGGCAGUGCCAAUGGCAUUGCCGUUUUCAAUGGGGGAUAUCUAAACCCAUCCAAAAUCGAGUAUCAAUUGGAGGACAAGUCUGGUGCCAGCACCCGCGGUAAUUCCAGCUCCAAAAGCGUAUAUUAAUGCUGUUGCUGUUAAAGG